This 786-nucleotide ribosomal RNA is filed under the name Triticum aestivum (bread wheat). Its description in RNAcentral is "partial small subunit ribosomal RNA". The record is from RNAcentral. Lineage: Eukaryota; Viridiplantae; Streptophyta; Magnoliopsida; Poales; Poaceae.
AUGGUUUGCUUUACCUGUGGAGGCCCUGGCCACUACGUUGGUAACUGCAUCCAAAAGAAAGCUUGCUUCAUCUGUGGGUUGGAGGGUCACAAUGUCAAUAAUUGUGCAGCCUGGGCGCAACCUCAUCUAGUUGCCACUUUCUUUGGGAGUUCUGCUCUGGGACUGGGGUUCUAUCAUAUUGAUGCUCCUAUGGGGAGAGAAGCAAGUUGGCUGAACUUCAGAAACUGUGGAGAAGUUUGGGUCAUGAAAGGCGAAAUCAACAAGUCAGAUCUGGUUAAGAAUCUCUCUGGUAUAUUCUGCAAAAACAAGCAAUGGACAUGGCAGAUCAGACCACUGUCAGAGAAGAAGUUCCUGGUCAGAUUCCCACCCUGGAAAGAUGUCAAAGAACUGAUUGAAUUCCCUGCCUUUGAUCUGCCCAUCGAUGGAGUGUCUGUGUCUGUGGAAAAGUGGACCGGUACAAUUGACCCAUUCAGCGAGCUUACUGAAGCAUGGGUUGUCGUUGAGGGUCUAUCGUCCAAAUGGUGCACAUGGAAAGUCCUAUCUCAGAUUGCUUCCUGCUUUGGAAUUCUUGUGGAUGUCGAUUGGAAUGGUCUGAUGAAGAGCUUUUAUGAGACAGUGAGAGUCAAAAUUGCUUGUAGGGACCCAGCUAAGAUCCCUUUCGAACGGAUUAUGGAGAUGAGGAAAAAACUCUAUAUCUUAUCCUUUACUGUGGAAGGUUUUGACCAGAUAGGGGCUGAUGAUCCUAAUGAUGAUGAUGGACCUACCAGAUAAGGACAUCCUGGAUGA